AGAAUCAACAUUAUUAAGAAGAUUUGUAUUUAUAUAAUGGAGAAGCUAAGCACAUUGCUCAUCAUUAUACAAAGAAGCAAUGUAAUUAUAAAAUGAAGAGCACAACUACCUAAGAAGAUAAUGUGUUUGAAAAUGAAUUUUUCUAGCCACAAUAGGAACCGUGCAGCUGGAAUCAUGUACAAGACCUAGUAAAGGUCUUAUUUUCUUCUCAUACCCCUCA
RNAcentral lists this long non-coding RNA (220 nucleotides) under Physcomitrium patens. Its description in RNAcentral is "long non-coding RNA (PPAT_LNC005458)". Lineage: Eukaryota; Viridiplantae; Streptophyta; Bryopsida; Funariales; Funariaceae. The record is from RNAcentral.